RNAcentral lists this ribosomal RNA (253 nucleotides) under uncultured bacterium. RNAcentral describes it as "partial 16S ribosomal RNA". It matches the Rfam family "Bacterial small subunit ribosomal RNA", at positions 524 to 776 of the family's 1533-position model. The record is from RNAcentral.
UACGUAGGGACCGCGCGUUGUCCGGAAUCAUUGGGCGUAAAGAGCGUGUAGGCGGCCACUUAAGUCCUGCGUGAAAUCUUGCGGCUCAACCGCAAGCGGUCGUGGGAAACUGGGUGGCUAGAGUGCGGGAGAGGAGAGUGGAAUUCCUGGUGUAGCGGUGGAAUGCGCAGAUAUCAGGAAGAACACCCGUGGCGAAGGCGGCUCUCUGGAACGCAACUGACGCUGAGACGCGAAAGCGUGGGGAGCAAACAGG